UCCCGCCGGCGACCGGCGCACGGGUGAGUAACACGUAUGGAACCUGCCCGCAGCAGGGGGAUAAGCGGAAGAAAUUCCGCCUAAUACAGCAUGACGCCGGGAAGGGACAUCCCUUUCCGGCCAAAGGGGGCGACUCCGGUCACGGAUGGGCAUGCGGCGCAUUAGGUAGUUGGUGGGGCAACGGCCCACCAAGCCGACGAUGCGUAGGGGUUCUGAGAGGAAGGUCCCCCACAUUGGAACUGAGACACGGUCCAAACUCCUACGGGAGGCAGCAG
This 275-nucleotide ribosomal RNA is filed under the name uncultured bacterium. RNAcentral's name for it is "partial 16S ribosomal RNA". It matches the Rfam family "Bacterial small subunit ribosomal RNA", at positions 83 to 354 of the family's 1533-position model. The record is from RNAcentral.